CUGGCAUUUCUAGAAGAUCAGGUGCUAAUUCACAAAUAAUUUGUCACAGAUGGGGAAAAAGUGGCAAUAAAAUUGUGUUUCUGCGUGGAGAGGUUUCAGCAGCAUCGUGAUAUUCCUCCAUCUACUAGAAGAACAAUCCAGCUGGCUGAUUCUACUUCCCACUGGGAUCUCAGCUUUAAUUGAGGUAUAACAAUAGAUUGAAUGUGCUCAUUUUGUACUGCUGUCAUUUAUUUCUGUCAAAACCAAUUCAAUUGAAUAUACUAUUAUUGAAUUUGUAGUUAAGGAAAGUGAAAAAGGUCUUAACGCUUUCACCCAAAUUUUAUGCAAGUGUUUAUUACUUACACUCAGUAAGCACAGUAUGGCCUUUUUGAUGAAUAUGCUACACGUCUUACUCAUUCUAAGUUGUUUUCUUGUGCAUCAGUGGGGCCAUAUCCUCAUACUUAUAUCUCCAAAAUAAAAGUUGGUACUCUUGGAUAACCAAUGGCCUUAUUAGUGGUGUUUAUGCAUUUGGAUUUCUGU
This is a long non-coding RNA of Cyprinus carpio (common carp), 519 nucleotides long. RefSeq lists it as uncharacterized. The transcript has 3 exons. Lineage: Eukaryota; Metazoa; Chordata; Actinopteri; Cypriniformes; Cyprinidae. The record is from RefSeq and is a predicted model, not a curated record.